AUGAUCCUAAAAAGGAGGAUCAUACACAGAUCUGUAAGUAACUGGAAGUUUGUGUUGACUUCGCCACAUACCUGUCCACUUCCUGUGCUUAAGUGUACAUGUCCAUAUACACAUUCACAUGUGAACAUCUAAGGGUAUAUGUGUAUCUAUAUAUACCCCCAGGAGUGGCCAGAUCUAUAUUUAUAUAUUAGGGCCUGGCUCUUUAAAAUGGGGGAUAAUGAUGCUGAAAAUUCUCUAAGCUUUCCAAAGACAUAAAUGACCAAACUGCCUCCUGACUCCUGAAUUACAUUACCCAGAAAGAACUUAAUAACAUGUUAUUAUCGCUUCUCCUCACUGACAGGAUUUCAGGGCUGAAAAGACAAACAAGAAGUACGCUCGUAAUCACCAGCACAUUCACCUCGGCCAAGCCACGGCCACUGCUAAUUCCAGCUCUCCAAGAAGGGUAACCUGUGGAAAACCACCCCAUUUCACAGCAGGGGAAGCAGAGGCUCAGAGACCAAAGCAACCUGCCCAGUGAUAACAGAAUUAGGAUGAUGGGCCUGACCUCCAGCUGCCCGGCCCAGUGGAGGCAACACUUGCCCCUGUCCGGAGAAUAUGGUCCAGGACAAAGGUAUGAAAGAGACCAGAUCCUACUCUGGAUA
This 641-nucleotide long non-coding RNA is filed under the name Bos indicus x Bos taurus (hybrid cattle). Its description in RNAcentral is "lncRNA (ENSBIXG00005022942.1)". Lineage: Eukaryota; Metazoa; Chordata; Mammalia; Artiodactyla; Bovidae. The record is from RNAcentral.